RNAcentral lists this ribosomal RNA (503 nucleotides) under uncultured bacterium. RNAcentral's name for it is "partial 16S ribosomal RNA". It matches the Rfam family "Bacterial small subunit ribosomal RNA", at positions 28 to 507 of the family's 1533-position model. The record is from RNAcentral.
GACGAACGCUGGCGGCGUGCCUAAUACAUGCAAGUCGAACGAGCCGCGACUAAGUGCUUGCACUAAGUCAAGGUGAGUGGCGAACGGGUGAGUAACACGUGGGUAACCUACCUCAUAGUGGGGGAUAACAGUCGGAAACGACUGCUAAUACCGCAUAGGACAUAGGAUCACAUGAUCCAGUGAGGAAAGGUGGCGCAAGCUAUCGCUAAGAGAUGGACCCGCGGUGCAUUAGCUAGUUGGUAGGGUAAAGGCCUACCAAGGCGAUGAUGCAUAGCCGACCUGAGAGGGUGAUCGGCCACAUUGGGACUGAGACACGGCCCAGACUCCUACGGGAGGCAGCAGUAGGGAAUCUUCGGCAAUGGACGAAAGUCUGACCGAGCAACGCCGCGUGAGUGAAGAAGGGUUUCGGAUCGUAAAGCUCGGUUGUAAGAGAAGAACGGGUGUGAGAGUGGAAAGUUCACACUGUGACGGUAUCUUACCAGAAAGAGACGGCUAACUACGUG